This 957-nucleotide ribosomal RNA is filed under the name Triticum aestivum (bread wheat). Its description in RNAcentral is "partial small subunit ribosomal RNA". Lineage: Eukaryota; Viridiplantae; Streptophyta; Magnoliopsida; Poales; Poaceae. The record is from RNAcentral.
GCAACCUCGCCGGCAGCUUCUAGGAUCAGGCCGUCGCACGGCGAACCGUCCCCGCCGCUGAACCAAGAGCUGAUCGUCGACGAGAUCCUCACGCGCCUGCCGGUGGCCGAAGCCAUGCGCUGCAGAUCAGUCAGCCGGGCGUGGAACGCGGCCCUCGCCUCCGGCCACUUCGUCGCCGCGCACGCCGCCAGAGCAGCCGCCGCGCGCCACCCCGAGAUCGUCUUCUUCUCGCCGACAGAGAAGGGCGUCGCCACGUCCUUCUACGCUUGCUCGCUUCCCGAGGACGGAGACGCGCCGCCCGCCGCCGCUGCCCGCAAGCUGCUCAGCGUGGGCAACCUCGCCGGCGAGCACCUCCUGCUGACCGGCAAGCCAUGCCGUGGCCUGACGCUCGUCUUCGACGUCCGGUUGUCCGAGUACCACGUCUUGAACCUCUCCACCGGCGAGCAUGUAUCCCUGCCGCCGUGCGAGACGGCGGAGGAGAUAGCACCGGUGGUUCCAAAGCUGAUGCUGCUCGAACGGCUUCCUCUGGAGCUCUCCAGCACCGGCCUCGGCUUCGACCCGGCCACCGGCCAGCACAAGGUGGUGAGGCUCUUCAGGAACAUCUUCGGGCAGCAGAAGUGCGAGGUGUGUUCGCUUACGGCGUCCGGCGAGUGGCGGUGGCGGCGCUGCGCCGGCGGUGACGCGCCGCCAAGAUUCGCGUGCUACGUCGACGGCCGGCCUCCCGUGGCCCUCGAGGGAUCCCUCUACUGGCUGCUGCACCGGCGAAGCUGCGCCUACGACGGCAGCGCCAGGGACCCGCAACAGGACGCGCCCAUCCUGUCGCUCUCCGUCGGCGCCGAGCGGUUCGGGUGGGUGCGCACGCCGCCGCGGCUGGCGUCACGCAUCCGGCACCUCACCAACCUCGACGGCGCCCUCUGCGCCGUCGUCCACGACCGCCUCGUCGACGACGUGCUCCUG